CCGAGUUUACAACUCCCAAACCCAAUGUGAACGUUACCAAACUGUUGCCUCGGCGGGGUCACGCCCCGGGUGCGUCGCAGCCCCGGAACCAGGCGCCCGCCGGAGGGACCAACCAAACUCUUUCUGUAGUCCCCUCGCGGACGUUAUUUCUUACAGCUCUGAGCAAAAAAUUCAAAUGAAUCA
This 183-nucleotide unclassified non-coding RNA is filed under the name uncultured Trichoderma. Its description in RNAcentral is "sequence contains ITS1". Lineage: Eukaryota; Fungi; Ascomycota; Sordariomycetes; Hypocreales; Hypocreaceae. The record is from RNAcentral.